ACAGAGAAGGCUAUAGUUCUAAAAUCAAGAUAGAAGAAGAAGUAAAUAAUGAUGUCUUCCAGGUCAAUUAGGUCCUUUCGAGGAGCUGAAGUUGAUCUAAGGCAUCAUUCUUGGAGUGGUCCACAUAGCUCUGGGAGUGGAUGAGUGGCAGUGGCGAAGUGGAGGCAAAGGCCAGUGUAAAGAUGGCGAGGACCUGGGACAUUUCUCUUGACGUACUUAGCUGUGUUGUCAUCUCAGGAAGUGGU
Molecule: long non-coding RNA, 245 nt
Organism: Suricata suricatta (meerkat)
Lineage: Eukaryota; Metazoa; Chordata; Mammalia; Carnivora; Herpestidae
Exons: 3
Source: RefSeq, a predicted model, not a curated record